RNAcentral lists this transfer RNA (77 nucleotides) under candidate division WWE3 bacterium CG08_land_8_20_14_0_20_41_10. Its description in RNAcentral is "tRNA-Ile". It matches the Rfam family "tRNA". From Rfam's summary of the family: Transfer RNA (tRNA) molecules are approximately 80 nucleotides in length. Their secondary structure includes four short double-helical elements and three loops (D, anti-codon, and T loops). Lineage: Bacteria; candidate division WWE3. The record is from RNAcentral.
GGGUCGGUAGCUCAGCUGGUUAGAGCGCUUCUCUGAUAAGGAAGAGGCCGAAGGUUCGAGUCCUUCUCGACCCACCA